AGUGAACGCUGGCGGUAGGCCUAACACAUGCAAGUCGAACGGCAGCACAGUAAGAUCUUGCUCUUACGGGUGGCGAGUGGCGGACGGGUGAGGAAUACAUCGGAAUCUACUUUUUCGUGGGGGAUAACGUAGGGAAACUUACGCUAAUACCGCAUACGACCUACGGGUGAAAGCAGUGGAUCUUCGGACCUUGCGCGAUUGAAUUAGCCGAUGUCGGAUUAGCUAGUUGGCGAGGUAAAGGCCCACCAAGGCGACGAUCCGUAGCUGGUCUGAGAGGAUGAUCAGCCACACUGGAACUGAGACACGGUCCAGACUCCUACGGGAGGCAGCAGUGGGGAAUAUUGGACAAUGGGCGAAAGCCUGAUCCAGCCACACCGCGUGGGUGAAGAAGGCCUUCGGGUUGUAAAGCCCUGUUGUUGGGAAAGAAAAGCAGCAGGUGAAUACCCCGAUGUUCUGACGGUACCCAAAGAAUAAGCAACGGCUAACUUCGUG
RNAcentral lists this ribosomal RNA (492 nucleotides) under uncultured bacterium. Its description in RNAcentral is "partial 16S ribosomal RNA". It matches the Rfam family "Bacterial small subunit ribosomal RNA", at positions 29 to 507 of the family's 1533-position model. The record is from RNAcentral.